RNAcentral lists this unclassified non-coding RNA (341 nucleotides) under soil metagenome. Its description in RNAcentral is "partial contains 5.8S ribosomal RNA, internal transcribed spacer 2, and large subunit ribosomal RNA". The stretch from base 1 to 120 matches the Rfam family "5.8S ribosomal RNA", at positions 35 to 154 of the family's 154-position model. The record is from RNAcentral.
GAUGAAGAACGCAGCAAAAUGCGAUAAGUAAUGUGAAUUGCAGAAUUCAGUGAAUCAUCGAAUCUUUGAACGCACAUUGCGCCCGCCAGUAUUCUGGCGGGCAUGCCUGUUCGAGCGUCAUUUCAACCCUCAAGCCCCCGGGUUUGGUGUUGGGGAUCGGGCUGUACUCCAGCCCGGCCCCGAAAUCUAGUGGCGGUCUCGCUGCAGCCUCCAUUGCGUAGUAGCUAACACCUCGCAACUGGAACGCGGCGCGGCCAAGCCGUUAAACCCCCAACUUCUGAAUGUUGACCUCGGAUCAGGUAGGAAUACCCGCUGAACUUAAGCAUAUCAUAAGCGGAGGA